This 221-nucleotide unclassified non-coding RNA is filed under the name fungal sp. Its description in RNAcentral is "partial internal transcribed spacer region". The stretch from base 1 to 46 matches the Rfam family "Eukaryotic small subunit ribosomal RNA", at positions 1786 to 1831 of the family's 1831-position model. The record is from RNAcentral. Lineage: Eukaryota; Fungi.
AAGUCGUAACAAGGUAUCCGUAGGUGAACCUGCGGAUGGAUCAUUACCAAAGAUUUUUUCAAAGUCUUGUGAACUGUUUUGACAAAUACACUGUUGGGUUGGGCGAAGCUUGGCUAGACCAACCCAACAGUACCAUACACGUAUAUAACCCCUAAACUGACGUCUACUUUAGUAGUAAAUCAAACUAAAGACAACUUUUAGCAACGGAUCUCUUGGCUCUC